GAUGAAGAACGCAGCGAAAUGCGAUAAGUAGUGUGAAUUGCAGAAUUCAGUGAAUCAUCGAAUCUUUGAACGCACAUUGCGCCCCUUGGUAUUCCAUGGGGCAUGCCUGUUCGAGCGUCAUUUGUACCUUCAAGCUUUGCUUGGUGUUGGGUGUUUGUCUCGCCUUUGCGUGUAGACUCGCCUUAAAAUAAUUGGCAGCCGGCGUAUUGAUUUCGGAGCGCAGUACAUCUCGCGCUUUGCACUCAUAACGACAGCGUCCAAAAGUACAUUUUACACUCUUGACCUCGGAUCAGGUAGGGAUACCCGCUGAACUUAAGCAUAUCAAUAAGCGGAGGGA
RNAcentral lists this unclassified non-coding RNA (337 nucleotides) under soil metagenome. RNAcentral describes it as "partial contains 5.8S ribosomal RNA, internal transcribed spacer 2, and large subunit ribosomal RNA". The stretch from base 1 to 120 matches the Rfam family "5.8S ribosomal RNA", at positions 35 to 154 of the family's 154-position model. The record is from RNAcentral.